Molecule: ribosomal RNA, 1281 nt
Filed under: Ditylenchus environmental sample
Lineage: Eukaryota; Metazoa; Nematoda; Chromadorea; Rhabditida; Anguinidae
Description: SSU rRNA
Rfam family: Eukaryotic small subunit ribosomal RNA
Source: RNAcentral
UGGGAAACUGCGAACGGCUCAUUAUAACAGCUAUAAUCUACUUGAUCUUGACAUAUCCUACUUGGAUAACUGUGGUAAUUCUAGAGCUAAUACAUGCACUAAAGCCCUGACCUUACGGAAAGGGUGCAUUUAUUAGAACAAAACCAAGCCGCUUGCGGUUUUUUGUUGACUCAGAAUAACUCAGCUGAUCGCAUGGUCUUGUACCGGCGACGUGUCUUUCGAGUAUCUGCCUUAUCAACUUUCGAUGGUAGUGUAUCUGACUACCAUGGUGGUGACGGGUAACGGAGGAUAAGGGUUCGACUCCGGAGAAGGCGCCUGAGAAAUGGCGACUACGUCUAAGGAUGGCAGCAGGCGCGCAAAUUACCCACUCUCAGAAUGAGGAGGUAGUGACGAGAAAUAACGAGACCGUUCUCUAUGAGGCCGGUCAUCGGAAUGGGUACAAUCUAAACCCUUUAACGAGUAUCUAUGAGAGGGCAAGUCUGGUGCCAGCAGCCGCGGUAAUUCCAGCUCUCAAAAUGCAUAGAAUUAUUGCUGCGGUUAAAAAGCUCGUAGUUGGAUCUGUGCUAGAGACUUGGUCCACCUUCGGGUGCGUACUGAGCUCUCUUGCUUUUCUGCCGGUUUUCCCAGCAUGGCUUUAAUCGGCUGUGUUGGGUGGCUGGUGAUUUUACUUUGAACAAAUCAGAGUGCUUCAAACAGGCGUUUCGCUUGUAUGUUUUUGCAUGGAAUAAUAGAAGAGGAUUUCGGUUCUAUUUUAUUGGUUUUAUAGACCGAAAUAAUGGUUAACAGAGACGAACGGGGGCAUUAGUACUUUUGCGCUAGAGGUGAAAUUCUUGGACCGCAGAAAGACUAACUACAGCGAAAGCAUUUGCCAAGAACGUCUUCAUUAAUCAAGAACGAAAGUCAGAGGUUCGAAGGCGAUCAGAUACCGCCCUAGUUCUGACCGUAAACGAUGCCAACUAGCGAUCUGCCGGUGGAAUAUUCGCCCUGGUAGGGAGCUUCCCGGAAACGAAAGUCUUCCGGUUCCGGGGGAAGUAUGGUUGCAAAGCUGAAACUUAAAGGAAUUGACGGAAGGGCACCACCAGGAGUGGAGCCUGCGGCUUAAUUUGACUCAACACGGGAAAACUCACCCGGCCCGGACACUGUAAGGAUUGACAGAUUGAUAGCUUUUUCAUGAUUCGGUGGAUGGUGGUGCAUGGCCGUUCUUAGUUCGUGGAGCGAUUUGUCUGGUUUAUUCCGAUAACGAGCGAGACUCUAGCCUGCUAAAUAGUCCACACAUUGCUA